UACGUAGGGUGCAAGCGUUGUCCGGAAUUAUUGGGCGUAAAGAGCUCGUAGGCGGUCUGUUGCGUCGGCUGUGAAAACCCGGGGCUCAACCCCGGGCCUGCAGCCGAUACGGGCAGACUAGAGUUCGGCAGGGGAGACUGGAAUUCCUGGUGUAGCGGUGAAAUGCGCAGAUAUCAGGAGGAACACCGGUGGCGAAGGCGGGUCUCUGGCCGGACUACUGACGCUGAGGAGCGAAAGCGUGGGGAGCGAACAGG
This 254-nucleotide ribosomal RNA is filed under the name uncultured bacterium. RNAcentral describes it as "partial 16S ribosomal RNA". It matches the Rfam family "Bacterial small subunit ribosomal RNA", at positions 524 to 776 of the family's 1533-position model. The record is from RNAcentral.